RNAcentral lists this ribosomal RNA (496 nucleotides) under uncultured bacterium. RNAcentral's name for it is "bacterial SSU rRNA". It matches the Rfam family "Bacterial small subunit ribosomal RNA", at positions 12 to 518 of the family's 1533-position model. The record is from RNAcentral.
UUCGAUUCUGGCUCAGGAUGAACGCUGGCGGCGUGCUUAAUACAUGCAAGUCGAACGGAAGAUAUCGGGAGCUUGCUCUUGAUAUCUUAGGUGGCGGACGGGUGAGUAACGCGUGGGUAACCUGCCUCAUACAGGGGGAUAACAGUUAGAAAUGACUGCUAAAACCGCAUAACAUUGCAGUACCGCAUGAUACUGUGAUCAAAUAUUUAUAGGUAUGAGAUGGGCCCGCGUCUGAUUAGCUAGUUGGUGGGGCAAUGGCCUACCAAGGCGACGAUCAGUAGCCGUACUGAGAGGUAGAACGGCCACAUUGGGACUGAGACACGGCCCAAACUCCUACGGGAGGCAGCAGUAGGGAAUAUUGGACAAUGGGGGAAACCCUGAUCCAGCGAACGCCGCGUGAGUGAAGAAGUUAUUCGUAAUGUAAAGCUCUAUCAGCAGGGACGAUAAUGACGGUACCUGACUAAGAAGCACCGGCUAAAUACGUGCCAGCCGCUGC